This 432-nucleotide ribosomal RNA is filed under the name uncultured bacterium. RNAcentral describes it as "partial 16S ribosomal RNA". It matches the Rfam family "Bacterial small subunit ribosomal RNA", at positions 29 to 506 of the family's 1533-position model. The record is from RNAcentral.
AACGAACGCUGGCGGCAUGCCUAACACAUGCAAGUCGAACGAGACCUUCGGGUCUAGUGGCGCACGGGUGCGUAACGCGUGGGAACCUGCCCUUAGGUUCGGAAUAACUCCCCGAAAGGGGUGCUAAUACCGGAUAAUGUCUUCGGACCAAAGAUUUAUCGCCUUUGGAUGGGCCCGCGUUGGAUUAGCUAGUUGGUAGGGUAAAAGCCUACCAAGGCGACGAUCCAUAGCUGGUCUGAGAGGAUGAUCAGCCACACUGGGACUGAGACACGGCCCAGACUCCUACGGGAGGCAGCAGUGGGGAAUAAUGGACAAUGGGCGAAAGACUGAUCCAGCAAUGCCGCGUGAGUGAUGAAGGCCUUAGGGAUGUAAAGCUCUUUUACCCGGGAUGAUAAUGACAGUACCGGGAGAAUAAGCUCCGGCUAACUCCGU